Molecule: transfer RNA, 73 nt
Filed under: Felis catus (domestic cat)
Lineage: Eukaryota; Metazoa; Chordata; Mammalia; Carnivora; Felidae
Rfam family: tRNA
About the family: Transfer RNA (tRNA) molecules are approximately 80 nucleotides in length. Their secondary structure includes four short double-helical elements and three loops (D, anti-codon, and T loops).
Source: Rfam by way of RNAcentral
GCCUGGCUGGUUCAGUGGGAGGAAUGUGAUAUUCUUGAUGUUGUGGUCAUGGGUUCAAGCCCCACGUUGGGCA